This 197-nucleotide non-coding RNA is filed under the name Camelus dromedarius (Arabian camel). RNAcentral's name for it is "Connexin-43 internal ribosome entry site (IRES)". It matches the Rfam family "Connexin-43 internal ribosome entry site (IRES)". From Rfam's summary of the family: This family represents the connexin-43 internal ribosome entry site (IRES) which allows cap independent translation during conditions such as heat shock and stress. Lineage: Eukaryota; Metazoa; Chordata; Mammalia; Artiodactyla; Camelidae. RNAcentral also lists the same sequence under 1 other name. The record is from Rfam by way of RNAcentral.
AGCUUUUAUGAGGUUAUCAGCACUUUUCCUUCAUUAGCGGGAAAGAGUGAGGAAAGUACCAUACAGCAGUAAUUUCAACUUUAAAAAGACAGGUCUGAGUGCCUGGACUUGCUUUUUCAUUUUACAACAUCCUCAAAGAAGUUCAAUCACUUAGGAUGCCUACUCACUCCUUUUAAGAGAAAGAGUAACUUGAAAAA